RNAcentral lists this ribosomal RNA (375 nucleotides) under uncultured prokaryote. RNAcentral's name for it is "partial 16S ribosomal RNA". The record is from RNAcentral.
CCCUAUGGGGUGCAGCAGGACAGGUGACGCAUGGAGCUGGAGGCUCAAGAUCAAAAAUCCAUGCGAACAGAAAGGUUAAUUGAUAAUGAAAAAGCUUUUAACAUAUAUGAUGGCGAUGCUUCUUCUGACGUCAGUUUUCGCGGGCUGCGCGACGCAGGCGGCGGAACAAACGGCAGGGGGGGCAGACGGCGGCAAGCUCUCCGUGGUGACAACGAUAUUUCCGCCUUACGACUUUGCGCGGGCGGUGUCCGGCGGGCUGGCCGAUGUGACGAUGCUGAUUGACCCCGGCGCGGAGGUGCACUCGUUUGACCCCACCACGCAGGACAUCAUGAAGAUACAGAACUGCGAUGUGUUUAUCUAUAUUGGCGGGGGGGC